RNAcentral lists this ribosomal RNA (505 nucleotides) under uncultured bacterium. RNAcentral describes it as "partial 16S ribosomal RNA". It matches the Rfam family "Bacterial small subunit ribosomal RNA", at positions 28 to 507 of the family's 1533-position model. The record is from RNAcentral.
GACGAACGCUGGCGGCGUGCCUAAUACAUGCAAGUAGAACGCACAGUUUAUACCGUAGCUUGCUACACCAUAGACUGUGAGUUGCGAACGGGUGAGUAACGCGUAGGUAACCUGCCUGGUAGCGGGGGAUAACUAUUGGAAACGAUAGCUAAUACCGCAUAAUAUUAAUUAUUGCAUGAUAAUUGAUUGAAAGAUGCAACUGCAUCACUACCAGAUGGACCUGCGUUGUAUUAGCUAGUAGGUGAGGUAACGGCUCACCUAGGCGACGAUACAUAGCCGACCUGAGAGGGUGAUCGGCCACACUGGGACUGAGACACGGCCCAGACUCCUACGGGAGGCAGCAGUAGGGAAUCUUCGGCAAUGGACGAGAGUCUGACCGAGCAACGCCGCGUGAGUGAAGAAGGUUUUCGGAUCGUAAAGCUCUGUUGUAAGAGAAGAACGGGUGUGAGAGUGGAAAGUUCACACUGUGACGGUAUCUUACCAGAAAGGGACGGCUAACUACGUG